This 483-nucleotide ribosomal RNA is filed under the name uncultured bacterium. RNAcentral describes it as "partial 16S ribosomal RNA". It matches the Rfam family "Bacterial small subunit ribosomal RNA", at positions 29 to 523 of the family's 1533-position model. The record is from RNAcentral.
AGUGAACGCUGGCGGCGUGCUUAACACAUGCAAGUCGAACGAGAAACGGAUUUAGCUUGCUAAAUUGCAGUCUAAGUGGCGCACGGGUGAGUAAUGUAUAGAUAAUAUGCCUUUUACUAAGGGAUAACAGUUGGAACCGGCUGCUAAUACCUUAUAUGCCUUUAAUACAUAAGUAUGCAAGGGAAAGAUUUAUUGGUAAAAGAUUAGUCUGUAUUGUAUCAGUUAGUUGGUGAGGUAAUGGCUCACCAAGACUAUGACGCAUAACUGGUUUGAGAGGAUGAUCAGUCACACUGGAACUGAGACACGGUCCAGACUCCUACGGGAGGCAGCAGUGGGGAAUAUUGCACAAUGGGGGAAACCCUGAUGCAGCAACGCCGCGUGGAGGAUGACACAUUUCGGUGCGUAAACUCCUUUUAUAUAGGAAGAUAAUGACGGUACUAUAUGAAUAAGCACCGGCUAACUCCGUGCCAGCAGCCGCCGUAA